GCAAACUCUUUCUGUGCUACUAGAUGUGAUACAUACUGAAUCUGAGCAGCGGCAGCAGCAGCAGAAGGGAGGAGGACACACUAAAAAGCUAUACCCCAGAUGAAAGCUGCAUACCUUUCAUGAAGGGCUCUUCAGGGGUUCCUUAAAGAGUGAAUGUACCUGGGAGAAGUCCCCUUCAUGGUCACUGGGACUUGUGCUGCCUCCAUCUCUGUCAUCCACACGAGCACAGAGAGACAGAGGGAGCUGCAGGGAUGAGCCAACCAAGGAGUGAAGCUGGCAGAACAGCUGCAGCCACUGUUCAAGUGGGAACUGAUGGAUAUUGAUAACAUUGUCUGAAUACCUCUGCAGUUUUCACAGUGGACCCUCUAUCCCCUUCACUCAUUGGCUGUUUUCUCCAAUUGCUUCUAUCUCUGCUUUUCCAUUUUUCCAUUUACCUCCUAACAUAACCCCCCUGGAUAGAUUUAAAAAACAAUAACACAAAGCUUAUAAAACUCCAGCAGUUCCUGGAUGUAUGUUAUACCCUUCCCUCCCUUUCUCUCUUGUCUAUUUAAGAUCUGUACAGCAGUCUAUUUCUUAACUGUGUUUUUCCUGAAACUAGCCUCAGAGGGAAAGUCUGCGUUUACCUGAGCUGCAGUGUCCCCCAAGCACUCCGAAGUCUCUGAAGUCGUGUCUAACAAGCUAUCAUGAACUAUUAAAAAUGGGGUGGAGUGUUUCCAUUUUAAUCUGAUAACAUUACCAUCACAGAAAAAAAGAAAAAUUACUUGUAAGCUAAACAGCUUUGUAAAGUUUAAUUGCAACGAAGAGACAGAGAAACUGGAACUAUAGAUUUCAGAGGUAAGCCAAGCAGGGAAGACCUGGGACUGAUUUGGGUCCAUAGCAUCUUGCAUAUCCUGCUGACAAAUGCCUGGUCCUGCAAGGAGCCAUAUACAACACCCUCGUUACCACCACACUCCAGAGGUCUCAGACUCUGAGCCAAGGGUAAAUACGUGCAUCAAUAAAAGGCAAAACAACACUCUUUUGCAUUUUUAACAAUGAAUCUAUUUGAAAGCCUUUCAAAGAUCAGGUUUUAACUUACUAAAUCAACUUAAUCCUAUUAAAACGAAAUUCAGAGACACAGAAAUAUCUACUGCAUAUACUAGCAAGAAAAAUAUUUUUUUCUCUUACAUGUAUUUUGAAGUUAAAAUUAUCUCUAUGAAACACACAGCUUGGCAUAUUCUGGAUUAAAGGAACUCUGUGUAUUCAGGGAGAUAUAAAUUAAAAAAAAAAAUGCAUUUCCAUAAACUACUAGCUCAUAUUUAGCUCCAGGUUUCAUUCUCAGAAGUGCUGAAGUUGUUGAGCAGUGAGUUGCUGAAGUUGUUGAGCAGUGAGUUACUGACACAAUAUUUCAGUGCAAAAACUCCAGUUGGGCCAUUUUGCAGGUGUUGAAGCAAAAAGCCAGGAAGAGCUGGGGCAUUGUUACAAUCAUAUCUCUCUAUUGUUUUGCAGCUUUUCUUUAUCUUCUUUUCUGCCAGGAAAGACUGUCCAGGAUUACUGAGUUUAGUACAAAACUUAACACACUGCUCACAUUCACACUAGCAUCUGUCAAAACACAGGAUAAAGAGACAGCUGGUUCAGACUGCCACACUAUUGUAUAGAAGUGCUCAGCAGAUAUUUACAAGAUCUCCUUAGCAUCCCUUUAAUUUGAAGGUAUCAGCUCCAACUGGACUCGGAAACACGAUUCUAAUUUUGCAACAUGCAGAGAAGGAAUCUUUUUAAGGAUAUAAAUGGAGUCACUUAACACAUCCACCACUUGUAGCACUCCUGUGCUGGACAUGACUGUCCCCAUAGCAGACAAUUACAUACAACCACUCCUUAAUUUGUCACAGUACAAAACAAACAACUUCUGUCCAAGAUCUUGAUGCCUCAUGGACAGAGAAAGCUAAAAAUGAGUUUGACUUUGCAGGAUACAGAUGAGGAGAACAGGGGCAGCAAACAUAUCAGAGGCAGCAAAAGCUUAUUUAUAAGUUAAGAUCGUAUUUACCAAUUGAUUUAUGAAUAGCCAAAGUUAUAAAACAAAUGUGUUAUUUGGAUGGUCUCUGUACAUUUUCUCUGACAUCAGCCUUAUGGGACAACUUUCCUGAAAGGGCAAAAAAGCCCUGGGUAUAACUGAGAUU
This is a long non-coding RNA of Oxyura jamaicensis (ruddy duck), 2153 nucleotides long. RefSeq lists it as uncharacterized. NCBI's taxonomy places the organism in Eukaryota, Metazoa, Chordata, Aves, Anseriformes, Anatidae. The transcript has 2 exons. The record is from RefSeq and is a predicted model, not a curated record.